This 846-nucleotide ribosomal RNA is filed under the name uncultured archaeon. RNAcentral describes it as "bacterial SSU rRNA". It matches the Rfam family "Archaeal small subunit ribosomal RNA", at positions 415 to 1261 of the family's 1478-position model. The record is from RNAcentral.
CGUUGUAGAAUCACUGGUGAAUAAGGGGUGGGCAAGUUCUGGUGUCAGCCGCCGCGGUAAAACCAGCACCUCGAGUGGUCAGGAGGUUUAUUGGGCCUAAAGCAUCCGUAGCCGGUUGCAUAAGUUUUCGGUUAAAUCUAUGCGCUUAACGUAUAGGCCGCCGAAAAUACUGUGCAGCUAGGGAGUGGGAGAGGUACACGGUACUCGAUAGGAAGGGGUAAAAUCCUUUGAUCUAUUGAUGACCACCUGUGGCGAAGGCGGUGUACCAGAACACGUUCGACGGUGAGGGAUGAAAGCUGGGGGAGCAAACCGGAUUAGAUACCCGGGUAGUCCCAGCUGUAAACGAUGCAGACUCGGUGAUGCAUUGGCUUGUGGCCAAUGCAGUGCCGCAGGGAAGCCGUUAAGUCUGCCGCCUGGGAAGUACGUACGCAAGUAUGAAACUUAAAGGAAUUGGCGGGGGAGCACCACAAGGGGUGAAGCCUGCGGUUCAAUUGGAGUCAACGCCAGAAAUCUUACCUGGGGAGACAGCAGAAUGAAGGUCAAGCUGAAGACUUUACCAGACACGCUGAGAGGUGGUGCAUGGCCGUCGCCAGCUCGUGCCGUGAGAUGUCCUGUUAAGUCAGGUAACGAGCGAGACCCCUGCGUCUAGUUGCUACCAUUACUCUCUGGAGCAGUGGAGCGAAUUAGACGGACCGCCACAGUUAAUGUGGAGGAAGGAAGGGGCCACGGCAGGUCAGUAUGCCCCGAAACCCUAGGGCUACACGCGGGCUGCAAUGGUAUUGACAUGUGUUCCGAAUCCGAAAGGAGGAGGCAACCAUCAAACAUAUCUCAGUUAUGACUGAGGGC